Molecule: ribosomal RNA, 492 nt
Filed under: Streptococcus anginosus
Lineage: Bacteria; Bacillati; Bacillota; Bacilli; Lactobacillales; Streptococcaceae
Description: bacterial SSU rRNA
Rfam family: Bacterial small subunit ribosomal RNA
Source: RNAcentral
GACGAACGCUGGCGGCGUGCCUAAUACAUGCAAGUAGGACGCACAGUUUAUACCGUAGCUUGCUACACCAUAGACUGUGAGUUGCGAACGGGUGAGUAACGCGUAGGUAACCUGCCUAUUAGAGGGGGAUAACUAUUGGAAACGAUAGCUAAUACCGCAUAACAGUAUGUAACACAUGUUAGAUGCUUGAAAGAUGCAAUUGCAUCGCUAGUAGAUGGACCUGCGUUGUAUUAGCUAGUAGGUAGGGUAAUGGCCUACCUAGGCGACGAUACAUAGCCGACCUGAGAGGGUGAUCGGCCACACUGGGACUGAGACACGGCCCAGACUCCUACGGGAGGCAGCAGUAGGGAAUCUUCGGCAAUGGGGGGAACCCUGACCGAGCAACGCCGCGUGAGUGAAGAAGGUUUUCGGAUCGUAAAGCUCUGUUGUUAAGGAAGAACGAGUGUGAGAAUGGAAAGUUCAUACUGUGACGGUACUAAACCAGAAAAGGAC